GACUCGCUCCACAACACAUGAUCAGUACUUCUUCAAAUUGUCACAAUCAUCAAAAACAGAAAGGUGGGGAAACUGCUAGGACCAAAAUGAGCAUGAGGCAAGACAAUGAAAUGUAUUGAGAGAUCCUGGACGGAAUCCUGGAGCAGAAAACAUUAGCUGGGGGAACAGCCAGAAGUUGCACGGUGGUGAAGCUGGUGAAUAAGUGAGUGAGCACUCACCUGCAAUAGAGUCGGACCAGCCUGCCUUUCUCUUGGGUAUUCAGCAACAGCAUUUGCAUAUUUUUUAUCUCACCUAUGAAGAUAUUCUUGAAGGAAGACUUCCAGAACUGCUUCAGAAAGUGGCGGGAAUGAUGGACUUCGUUGAAAGCAAGACAGAAAUUAAUGCAUUGCUCAAAUUUCAGGAACAUUGCAAAGGGUGCUCACAGAAUAACUCAAACCAAACAACAUUGAAGAACAUCAAUUUAUUUACAAGCAAAUCAGUACAAGAUCUCACUUGACCUUUUCUUGCUUUGAUCACUAAUGCAAGUAGGCAAUCAUCUUUCUACAGCGUGUAUUGUUCAAUAGCUAGCAUCUCCAGUGAAAAACUCAUCAGAUAUGGAUAAGUUUCAUGAGAUUCAAUGAUAUUCCAACCCUAAAAGAAACAGAGGUAUGUUCAAGAGGAAAAAACAAACAGAAAAAGAACAAAGCGUUGAAGUCAAACUGUAAAAGAAAAUAAA
Molecule: long non-coding RNA, 715 nt
Organism: Chinchilla lanigera (long-tailed chinchilla)
Lineage: Eukaryota; Metazoa; Chordata; Mammalia; Rodentia; Chinchillidae
Exons: 3
Source: RefSeq, a predicted model, not a curated record